GCUACACAGAAGCGACAGCCCCGCCCGCGUGAGCAGAGGAACUAGACGCCCCACAGCGGGGGCGCUGCGGAAGCAGGGAAGGUGUACCAGAUGGACUGACUCUUAACAUACGGAAUAAGAAUAAAGACCCUGAUCCUGCAAACACUUAAGGGAAAGAAGUUAAGUGAGUAGGGAGGAAGGGAAGAAGAUUAUAAUGCUUGGAAGAUCUCUCUCAGGGGCCAAGAUAUUAUUGUAUGUUAAGUUCUAGCCCACUUGAAGCUGGAGAAAAUUUGCAUUUGUAAAGCCAGGACAUAGCUCCUGCAUGGAAAAAACUACAAAUUGGA
Chelonoidis abingdonii (Abingdon island giant tortoise) is the source of this 323-nucleotide long non-coding RNA. RefSeq lists it as uncharacterized. The record is from RefSeq and is a predicted model, not a curated record. NCBI's taxonomy places the organism in Eukaryota, Metazoa, Chordata, Testudines, Testudinidae.